Felis catus (domestic cat) is the source of this 753-nucleotide long non-coding RNA. RefSeq lists it as uncharacterized. The transcript has 3 exons. NCBI's taxonomy places the organism in Eukaryota, Metazoa, Chordata, Mammalia, Carnivora, Felidae. The record is from RefSeq and is a predicted model, not a curated record.
UACCUACAGUGAAUGCCCUUGCCUUCUUGUACCAGGUGUGUUCUGUUCUUAGAAACACAAACCCAACUCAAACUGGGUUUAAAUGAUAAGGAAGAUUUAUUGAUUUAUGUAAGUAGUAGGACAGGCUUCAGGGGUGGUCUGGUUCAGUGGCUCAGUGAUGUCACAAAGAACCCCUAUUUCUCCUUUUCCAUGUUCUAUUGGGUCCUCUUCAUUCCAAGGCUGGCAUUACAAGACAGCUGCUGACCACCCCUGAGUUACCUGCCUCCUUGUCCACAUCUGAGAAACAAAUGACUCAUUUCUUAAGGUUUGAGGAUGGCAACAACUUAAAGUUUUCAAAGUCAACAGCAAAUUAACUGACCUAGAAACCAAAGCUGAGUUCAGACAGACAACCAGAUUUGCUUUGUCCUUGGAUUGUCAGUUCAAAACCUGGCUAAUUCUAAUUCAGUUUACAGUAAUAGCAAGUUGUAGACCAACUUUAAUCAUACAGAGACGCCAGUUACUGUGUUGUAAGGAUGCUCGAGCAGCUCUAUGGAGAGGCCUAGGUGGUGAGGAACGGAGGACUCCUACAGCAGUGUCAUGAAUGAGCCAUCUUGGAAAAUGCUCCUUUGGCUCUGGCCAAGCCUUCUGAUAACGGAAGCCCAGGCUGUCCCCUCGACUGCAACCUCAUGAGAGACUCUGAGGUAGAACCACCCACCUGAGCCUCUCCUGGAUUUAUGACCUGUAGAAAAAAUAAAUAUAUAUAAUGUAUUUUAA